UAACCGAUGGGACAUAUGCCAUAUCCAAC
This 29-nucleotide small RNA is filed under the name Bombyx mori (domestic silkworm). RNAcentral's name for it is "ovarian small RNA-5655". The record is from RNAcentral. Lineage: Eukaryota; Metazoa; Arthropoda; Insecta; Lepidoptera; Bombycidae.